UACGGAGGGUGCGAGCGUUUGUCCGGAAUCAUUGGGCGUAAAGGGCGCGUAGGUGGCGGGACAAGCGUGCGGUGAAAGCUCGGGGCUCAACCCCGAGUCGGCCGUGCGAACUGUUUUGCUUGAGCACUGUAGAGGCAGGCGGAAUUCCGGGUGUAGCGGUGGAAUGCGUAGAGAUCCGGAAGAACACCGGUGGCGAAGGCGGCCUGCUGGGCAGUAGCUGACACUGAGGCGCGACAGCGUGGG
Molecule: ribosomal RNA, 243 nt
Filed under: uncultured bacterium
Lineage: Bacteria
Description: partial 16S ribosomal RNA
Rfam family: Bacterial small subunit ribosomal RNA
Source: RNAcentral